CGCCACCCAUAGAAAGGAGGAAAAAGAUCAUUUUAUUAAUGUUAGAAAAUGUAGACGCUAACGGGAAUGAAGGGAAUAAAAAAAAUUUCUUUUCUUGGAGAUUGAAACGAUGAUGAUUCAUGUUUUUAUUUGAAAAAGUUUUUUUUUUUUUUGGGAUUUUCUUUCUUUGGAAGAAGCAGCACACGGUGCAUCCUUUUUCAAAUUCUUUAGUGGAGAGCAAGGUGAUUUCCAAUGCAUUGAAGGUAGCCACUGUCACG
This 257-nucleotide long non-coding RNA is filed under the name Vigna radiata. Its description in RNAcentral is "long non-coding RNA (VRAD_LNC014079)". Lineage: Eukaryota; Viridiplantae; Streptophyta; Magnoliopsida; Fabales; Fabaceae. The record is from RNAcentral.